CCUACGGGAGACAGCAGUGAGGAAUAUUGGUCAAUGGGCGAGAGCCUGAACCAGCCAAGUCGCGUGAGGGAGUACUGCCCUACGUGUUGUAAACCUCUUUUGUCGGGGAGCAAAAGCCGGACGUGUCCGGCUGUGGGAGGACCCUAAGGAAAAGGAUCGGCAAACUCCCGUCCCGCCGUCGCGGUUAUACGGAGGAUGCGGGCGUUAUCCGGAUUUUGUGGGUUUAAAGGGUGCGCAGGCGGGUUUUUUAGUCAGCGGUAAAAUCGUGGGGCUCAACCCCCUCCAGCCGUUGAAACUGGGGGGCUAGAGUGUGAGAGAGGUACGCGGAAUGCGUGGUGUAGCGGUGAAAUGCAUAGAUAUCACGCAGAACCCCGAUUGCGAAGGCAGCAUACCGGUGCACCACUGACGUUGAGGCACGAAAGCGUGGGUAUCGAACAGGAUUAGAUACCCUUGUAGUC
This 458-nucleotide ribosomal RNA is filed under the name uncultured bacterium. RNAcentral's name for it is "partial 16S ribosomal RNA". It matches the Rfam family "Bacterial small subunit ribosomal RNA", at positions 338 to 795 of the family's 1533-position model. The record is from RNAcentral.